UUUUUUUUUUAGAGGGCGUGUACCGAAGCAGUAGGCUUAAGUAGAAUUUGGAUGGUUUAGAAUCAUAACUCGAUUAUGAUUCUAAACAGUAAUAUUAGUUAGGUCAAUAAUGUGUGUCAAUUGAUAGUUAUAACAUAUACAACAACAACCCAAUAUAAUCUCAUUUAGUGGGAUUUGGGGAGGGUAGUGUGUACCCAAACUUUACCCCUACCCUUGGAUAGAGAGGCUGUUUCCAAUAGACCCUCGGCAUCCUUCCGUUCAAGAACUUCUCACCUUGCUCUUGGGGAGACUCGAACUCACAACCUCUCGAUUGGAAGUAGGGGUUGCUUAUCAUAAUAGCAACCAUUAUUGUCUAAACUAGCCGAACAAAAAAUAGCUAGUUAAG
RNAcentral lists this long non-coding RNA (385 nucleotides) under Nicotiana benthamiana. Its description in RNAcentral is "long non-coding RNA (NBEN_LNC026016)". The record is from RNAcentral. Lineage: Eukaryota; Viridiplantae; Streptophyta; Magnoliopsida; Solanales; Solanaceae.